RNAcentral lists this ribosomal RNA (16 nucleotides) under Rotylenchus buxophilus. Its description in RNAcentral is "partial 18S ribosomal RNA". Lineage: Eukaryota; Metazoa; Nematoda; Chromadorea; Rhabditida; Hoplolaimidae. The record is from RNAcentral.
CAUUCACCACCUACCU